This 492-nucleotide ribosomal RNA is filed under the name uncultured bacterium. Its description in RNAcentral is "partial 16S ribosomal RNA". It matches the Rfam family "Bacterial small subunit ribosomal RNA", at positions 29 to 507 of the family's 1533-position model. The record is from RNAcentral.
AGUGAACGCUGGCGGUAGGCCUAACACAUGCAAGUCGAACGGCAGCACAGUAAGAGCUUGCUCUUACGGGUGGCGAGUGGCGGACGGGUGAGGAAUACAUCGGAAUCUACUUUUUCGUGGGGGAUAACGUAGGGAAACUUACGCUAAUACCGCAUACGACCUACGGGUGAAAGCAGGGGAUCUUCGGACCUUGCGCGAUUGAAUGCGCCGAUGUCGGAUUAGCUAGUUGGCGGGGUAAAGGCCCACCAAGGCGACGAUCCGUAGCUGGUCUGAGAGGAUGGUCAGCCACACUGGAACUGAGCCACGGUCCAGACGCCUACGGGAGGCAGCAGUGGGGAAUGUUGGGCAGUGGGCGCAAGCCUGAUCCAGCCAUACCGCGUGGGUGAAGAAGGCCUUCGGGUUGUAAAGCCGGUUUGUUGGGAAAGAAAAGCAGCAGGUUAAUACGACGCUGUUCUGACGGUACCCAAAGAAUAAGCACCGGCUAACUUCGUG